AUUGAGAAUUUCAGACAGAGACCUCGAAGCAAACCCUACAGAGAGAAAAGCCGAGAAUAGACCUUUCGGGCUUGAAAUCAGUGCUCUCCAAUCACCACCACCGUAAUCUUCUGUUUCUGCCAUUACAGAGUAUCACCCAUUC
Telopea speciosissima is the source of this 142-nucleotide long non-coding RNA. RefSeq lists it as uncharacterized. Lineage: Eukaryota; Viridiplantae; Streptophyta; Magnoliopsida; Proteales; Proteaceae. The transcript is spliced from 3 exons. The record is from RefSeq and is a predicted model, not a curated record.